CUCUCUCCUCUCCUCUCCCCUCCCAUGCGCCACACCCUUGUCCUUACCGCUGCCAUCGCCUGUCGCCGCUUUGCCGUCGCCCGUUGCCGCUGCCGUCGCCCGUUGCCGUCGCCCGUUGCUGUCUUGGUAAUUUUCUAUGCAAUUUAACUGCAAGAUUACUUUCCUCUUCUCCCUCAAAACGCAGAUAAGCCUACCGUUUCUUGAAUCCCUUCCUCCACCAAGACCCAUCGAAAACCACCUCCUCCCUCGACCUCUGCCCCUUCAAUCACCAGAGCCACAACCCCACAGAAUAUCGCCUCUCCCUUAACCGCUUUCUUCAAGUUCAACAUCCAGGUCUCCCAUCUUCUUCUUCACCACACCCUGCUCCUUCUCCCAUCGUUUUCAUCUCCAUCGAUUUCUCAUAGACUCGUCUCCUCUCUCCGUUGGCUUAUCCUCCGAAACCCACUCCAUUGUCCUCCCCUUCAUUGUUGUUACAGCUCCUCCGCUUCUCCAUCAAUAUUCCACCAUUUCCUCAUCAUCUCCCCAAAAAUUAGAAAACCCACCUGCAUUCACCGAUUCUGGUUGUUCCGUGAAAGCACAGACGAAGCACCCAGCGGCGUAGCAGAACCGGCAAAGCAAUCGGAGGCCAUGUAUUAGAACCAGCAAAGCACAGACAACCUUUCACCAAGUCUUUCCAGUGCCACUCCGCACCCAACCGCGUCAUCGCCCUCACUGACCCUUUGCUCCCUCUGCUCAGCCUCAAAACUUUGCUUCGGCGUGGACUGGAGACUCAAGAUUUGAGACUCAUGACCGAGUGAGGUACACAAGAGACCAGCUGGUGCAACUCAGAGAGAUGAGCCGGUACAGAUGCAAGAGGAAACACUGGAGCACACUCCAACGGAUGAUUCAACAAAUUCAUAGAUUAGUUUUUAGUUUUAUGAACAUUGUUAAGUAUUAUUGAUUUAUUUUAAAUUUUAUGACGAUUGUUAUGUAU
Molecule: long non-coding RNA, 973 nt
Organism: Manihot esculenta (cassava)
Lineage: Eukaryota; Viridiplantae; Streptophyta; Magnoliopsida; Malpighiales; Euphorbiaceae
Exons: 3
Source: RefSeq, a predicted model, not a curated record